RNAcentral lists this transfer RNA (72 nucleotides) under Bacteroidota bacterium. RNAcentral describes it as "Bacteroidetes bacterium (activated sludge metagenome) tRNA-Met". It matches the Rfam family "tRNA". Rfam says of the family: Transfer RNA (tRNA) molecules are approximately 80 nucleotides in length. Their secondary structure includes four short double-helical elements and three loops (D, anti-codon, and T loops). RNAcentral also lists the same sequence under 2 other names. Lineage: Bacteria; Pseudomonadati; Bacteroidota. The record is from RNAcentral.
CGCGGGAUGGAGCAGUGGUAGCUCGUCGGGCUCAUAACCCGAAGGUCACAGGUUCGAGUCCUGUUCCCGCAA